This 1530-nucleotide ribosomal RNA is filed under the name Escherichia coli. Its description in RNAcentral is "bacterial SSU rRNA". It matches the Rfam family "Bacterial small subunit ribosomal RNA". Lineage: Bacteria; Pseudomonadati; Pseudomonadota; Gammaproteobacteria; Enterobacterales; Enterobacteriaceae. The record is from RNAcentral. RNAcentral also lists the same sequence under 1 other name.
AGAGUUUGAUCAUGGCUCAGAUUGAACGCUGGCGGCAGGCCUAACACAUGCAAGUCGAACGGUAACAGGAAGCAGCUUGCUGCUUUGCUGACGAGUGGCGGACGGGUGAGUAAUGUCUGGGAAACUGCCUGAUGGAGGGGGAUAACUACUGGAAACGGUAGCUAAUACCGCAUAACGUCGCAAGACCAAAGAGGGGGACCUUAGGGCCUCUUGCCAUCGGAUGUGCCCAGAUGGGAUUAGCUAGUAGGUGGGGUAAAGGCUCACCUAGGCGACGAUCCCUAGCUGGUCUGAGAGGAUGACCAGCCACACUGGAACUGAGACACGGUCCAGACUCCUACGGGAGGCAGCAGUGGGGAAUAUUGCACAAUGGGCGCAAGCCUGAUGCAGCCAUGCCGCGUGUAUGAAGAAGGCCUUCGGGUUGUAAAGUACUUUCAGCGGGGAGGAAGGGAGUAAAGUUAAUACCUUUGCUCAUUGACGUUACCCGCAGAAGAAGCACCGGCUAACUCCGUGCCAGCAGCCGCGGUAAUACGGAGGGUGCAAGCGUUAAUCGGAAUUACUGGGCGUAAAGCGCACGCAGGCGGUUUGUUAAGUCAGAUGUGAAAUCCCCGGGCUCAACCUGGGAACUGCAUCUGAUACUGGCAAGCUUGAGUCUCGUAGAGGGGGGUAGAAUUCCAGGUGUAGCGGUGAAAUGCGUAGAGAUCUGGAGGAAUACCGGUGGCGAAGGCGGCCCCCUGGACGAAGACUGACGCUCAGGUGCGAAAGCGUGGGGAGCAAACAGGAUUAGAUACCCUGGUAGUCCACGCCGUAAACGAUGUCGACUUGGAGGUUGUGCCCUUGAGGCGUGGCUUCCGGAGCUAACGCGUUAAGUCGACCGCCUGGGGAGUACGGCCGCAAGGUUAAAACUCAAAUGAAUUGACGGGGGCCCGCACAAGCGGUGGAGCAUGUGGUUUAAUUCGAUGCAACGCGAAGAACCUUACCUGGUCUUGACAUCCACAGAACUUUCCAGAGAUGGAUUGGUGCCUUCGGGAACUGUGAGACAGGUGCUGCAUGGCUGUCGUCAGCUCGUGUUGUGAAAUGUUGGGUUAAGUCCCGCAACGAGCGCAACCCUUAUCCUUUGUUGCCAGCGGUCCGGCCGGGAACUCAAAGGAGACUGCCAGUGAUAAACUGGAGGAAGGUGGGGAUGACGUCAAGUCAUCAUGGCCCUUACGACCAGGGCUACACACGUGCUACAAUGGCGCAUACAAAGAGAAGCGACCUCGCGAGAGCAAGCGGACCUCAUAAAGUGCGUCGUAGUCCGGAUUGGAGUCUGCAACUCGACUCCAUGAAGUCGGAAUCGCUAGUAAUCGUGGAUCAGAAUGCCACGGUGAAUACGUUCCCGGGCCUUGUACACACCGCCCGUCACACCAUGGGAGUGGGUUGCAAAAGAAGUAGGUAGCUUAACCUUCGGGAGGGCGCUUACCACUUUGUGAUUCAUGACUGGGGUGAAGUCGUAACAAGGUAACCGUAGGGGAACCUGCGGUUGGAUCACCU